This 439-nucleotide ribosomal RNA is filed under the name uncultured bacterium. RNAcentral's name for it is "partial 16S ribosomal RNA". It matches the Rfam family "Bacterial small subunit ribosomal RNA", at positions 339 to 795 of the family's 1533-position model. The record is from RNAcentral.
CUACGGGGGGCAGCAGUGGGGAAUAUUGCACAAUGGAGGAAACUCUGAUGCAGCAACGCCGCGUGGAGGAUGACACUUUUCGGAGCGUAAACUCCUUUUAUAUAGGAAGAAGAUGACAGUACUAUAUGAAUAAGCGCCGGCUAACUCCGUGCCAGCAGCCGCGGUAAUACGGAGGGCGCAAGCGUUACUCGGAAUCACUGGGCGUAGAGAGCGUGUAGGCGGAUUAAAAAGUCAGAAGUGAAAUCCUAUAGCUUAACUAUAGAACUGCUUCUGAAACUCUUAAUCUAGAAUAUGGGAGAGGUUGAUGGAAUUUCUGGUGUAGGGGUAAAAUCCGUAGAGAUCAGAAGGAAUACCGAUUGCGAAGGCGAUCUACUAGAACAUUAUUGACGCUGAGACGCGAAAGCGUGGGGAGCAAACAGGAUUAGAUACCCCUGUAGUC